Long non-coding RNA from Leopardus geoffroyi (Geoffroy's cat), 1048 nucleotides. RefSeq lists it as uncharacterized. The transcript is spliced from 4 exons. The record is from RefSeq and is a predicted model, not a curated record. NCBI's taxonomy places the organism in Eukaryota, Metazoa, Chordata, Mammalia, Carnivora, Felidae.
CCGUGUUAUCAGAUACUUUGGGUCUGCCAGCUCCUGGAAGCAGGGUGAACAGGAGGCAUGAAUCUGGAGUGUCCAGCUGCCUUCAUUGUUGUCCCUUACUUGGAAGCAAAAACCAAAGACAACACUGGGAACACGCGGUUGACAGUUGGGAGAUACUUCCCCGGAGACACCUUUAGUGCUAAAUUCCUAGAGUCCUCCGUGCACUGGAAGUUAUCUAACUUACCUUUGAGAAAGGUUAUUCCUCAACGGACACUGUCGAUGGUCUGUGCCUGGGACCUGUUCUGGGAAACUAUGGAAAAGUUUUGUUUAACAUCAACAAGUCACUGCUGGGUCUCCUAGACUGUCAAUGCGUCUCUACCCAAACGAGAGGCAAUGUGUAGCUUCUGGAAACACCAUCUUCACAAGCUUUAUGGAGGAAUAACUGACAAAUGUAACUGUAUCCAUUUGAAGUGUACAACAUGAGGAUUUGAUAUGCAUAUACGUUGUGGAAUGAUUACGGAGAUCAAGAUAAUUAACACAUUUAUCACCUCACAGAGUUUAACUCUUUUUUCUUUUUGGCGGUGAGAACACUUGAGAUCUACUCAGCAAAUUUCAGACAACCCUUUCUAAUGUCCCAGUGAUGUAGCUACUCUAGUUACCACCGAACUGCAGGGCAGAUGGCUGAUCACUUUAUCUCCCGUGGGACGCACAGCAGUGCCUGGCCAGUGGCUCCUGGGGGCGGCAGAGAAGCAUCAGGGCGAGCCCCAGCCUCCGGGUGGAAGCAUCAUGUAACUCAGUUUUCCCCUGCCCUGUUCUGCGUCCCGGAUCCUCCCUCUCCUGAGGCCCCUCCUCUAAUACAUCACUUGGACAAGACUUCCUGUCUUAGGCUCUACUUCUAGAGAACUUGACCUAGGCCAGUAAGGUAAAUGGAAAUACAUGAAUAAGGUGACAGAAAUGAGUCCAAAUAUAUUAGUAAUUGUAAAUAGGAAAAAUUCAGGAUUCAAAAAUAAACAGAUUUCAGAUUGGAUCAAAAGUAAAAACCAAAUGCAUGAAUAAAAACCAAGCUAUC